UACGUAGGGUGCAAGCGUUAAUCGGAAUUACUGGGCGUAAAGCGUGCGCAGGCGGUGAUGUAAGACAGAUGUGAAAUCCCCGGGGCUCCAACCUGGGAACUGCAUUUGUGACUGCAUCGCUGGAGUGCGGCAGAGGGGGAUGGAAUUCCGCGUGUAGCAGUGAAAUGCGUAGAUAAUGCGGAGGAACACCGAUGGCGAAGGCAAUCCCCUGGACCUGUACUGAC
RNAcentral lists this ribosomal RNA (224 nucleotides) under uncultured bacterium. Its description in RNAcentral is "partial 16S ribosomal RNA". It matches the Rfam family "Bacterial small subunit ribosomal RNA", at positions 524 to 744 of the family's 1533-position model. The record is from RNAcentral.